UACGUAGGGGGCUAGCGUUGUCCGGAUUUAUUGGGCGUAAAGAGCGUGUAGGCGGCCAGGUAGGUCUGCUGUGAAAACUCGAGGCUCAACCUCGAGAUGUCAGCGGAAACCAUCUGGCUAGAGUCCGGAAGAGGAGAGUGGAAUUCCUGGUGUAGCGGUGAAAUGCGCAGAUAUCAGGAAGAACACCCGUGGCGAAGGCGGCUCUCUGGGACGGUACUGACGCUGAGACGCGAAAGCGUGGGGAGCGAACAGG
Molecule: ribosomal RNA, 253 nt
Filed under: uncultured bacterium
Lineage: Bacteria
Description: partial 16S ribosomal RNA
Rfam family: Bacterial small subunit ribosomal RNA
Source: RNAcentral